GAUGAACGCUGGCGGCGUGCCUAAUACAUGCAAGUCGAGCGAACAGACGAGGAGCUUGCUCCUCUGACGUUAGCGGCGGACGGGUGAGUAACACGUGGAUAACCUACCUAUAAGACUGGGCUAACUUCGGGAAACCGGAGCUAAUACCGGAUAAUAUAUUGAACUGCAUGGUUCAAUAGUGAAAGUCGGUUUUUCUGUCACUUAUAGAUGGCUCCGCGCCGCAUUAGCUAGUUGGUAAGGGAAAGGCUUACCAAGGCAACGAUGCGUAGCCGACCUGAGAGGGUGAUCGGCCACACUGGAACUGAGACACGGUCCAGACUCCUACGGGAGGCAGCAGUAGGGAAUCUUCCGCAAAGGGCGAAAGCCUGACGGAGCAACGCCGCGUGAGUGAUGAAGGUCUUCGGAUCGUAAAACUCUGUUAUUAGGGAAGAACAAAUGUGUAAGUAACUAUGCACGUCUUGACGGUACCUAAUCAGAAAGCCACGGCUAACUACGUG
RNAcentral lists this ribosomal RNA (497 nucleotides) under uncultured bacterium. RNAcentral describes it as "partial 16S ribosomal RNA". It matches the Rfam family "Bacterial small subunit ribosomal RNA", at positions 28 to 507 of the family's 1533-position model. The record is from RNAcentral.